This 261-nucleotide ribosomal RNA is filed under the name uncultured bacterium. RNAcentral's name for it is "partial 16S ribosomal RNA". It matches the Rfam family "Bacterial small subunit ribosomal RNA", at positions 793 to 1055 of the family's 1533-position model. The record is from RNAcentral.
GUCCUAGCCGUAAACGUUGGGUGCUAGGUGUGGGCGGAUAUUGACCCCGUCCGUGCCGAAGCUAACGCAUUAAGCACCCCGCCUGGGGAGUACGGCCGCAAGGCUAAAACUCAAAGGAAUUGACGGGGGCCCGCACAAGCGGCGGAGCAUGCGGCUUAAUUCGAUGCGACGCGAAGAACCUUACCUGGGCUUGACAUGCAGGGUGAAACCGGCGAAAGCCGGUGCUCUUCGGAGCCUGCACAGGUGGUGAAUGGCUGUCGU